GAGGGGUACGCCCCGGAACGGAGCGCGUUGCGGUUUCAGUCGCUAAAAAGCCACCGCCGACGGACGCCGCCGACGUCACGGGCCGCGUACAAGACGUUGCAGACGUCGUCGUCGACGCGAUCGUUUUCUCUACGCGCACGCGACAAGCCGGGACGACGCCGCCGCGAUGUUCUCCUCCGGUGACCAGUGACAGCCGUCGCGAACCGACCGAGUGUCCGGCACGUCCGGUUAGGUUUCCGUUACGCACUAUCGGGUUUUUCGGGAAUUUUUUUUUUUUUUUUUGUGCAGUGCGAGUGGGCACGUGUUUCCGGGUGAGUCGGCGCGAACUAAUAUAUUUCGGCGAACAAACGUACUCUCGCGCCGGACACGACGACCACGCUCGGGCGCACGGAUACGGCACGGUAAGAAUCGCUGCACGCGCACAGCAAUAAUCGUCGAAUGUUAUUUUAUUGAUACAUCGUUUGUCGGCCCCGUUCC
Molecule: non-coding RNA, 477 nt
Organism: Cinara cedri
Lineage: Eukaryota; Metazoa; Arthropoda; Insecta; Hemiptera; Aphididae
Source: the annotation of a GenBank genome assembly